Papaver somniferum (opium poppy) is the source of this 1347-nucleotide long non-coding RNA. RefSeq lists it as uncharacterized. The record is from RefSeq and is a predicted model, not a curated record. The transcript is spliced from 4 exons. Lineage: Eukaryota; Viridiplantae; Streptophyta; Magnoliopsida; Ranunculales; Papaveraceae.
CAGUUACAGUGUAAAUUUGUGAACAGUAGCAGAGCAGCAGAAGCAGUGAGUGAAACUGAGAAUGGCAUCAACUUCUGGUACUAAAGAAACUGAUCAACCUUUUUCUUCGUCUGUAAAAGAUUUGAUAGAAUAUGUUUUUUCCUUGAGUAUUCAACAUAUACUCAGUGAAGAUCUCCACAAACACAAGGUUAAAACAAUACCAAAGCGUUUCGAAUUCGUACAACAUUACCUUGGCUCUUACACUAUGUCGUUGCUGGAAGAAACUCACAUGGAGAGGUGUUCACAAAUGGAGUUUAUGUCAGGUGAACAUCAUGCUGAAGUAAUCUCAGCAGAGGAGUCGAAUCUGCAUGGAAGGUCAUUCUUGUAUAUCAUCAAGGUCGAGUGUUGGAGAAACCGGUAUGGUGUAUAUGGCAAAGAACCAUACAGCCCGAAACCUUUGGAUCUGUUUAUUUUGGGUGAUGUGGUGUGUACCUGAAGUUGCUUUGGACUUGCAGCGGUUUGGAAGCAGUUGGUCUUUCGCUUCAGUUGUAGAAGAUGUACGAAAGAGUCUCGAUUUUGUAGGGCUCAAAGAUAGACUUAUAUGCUUUCAGGUUAAGACCUCAUAGCCCCUAAAGAUAGAGAUGAAAGAGGGCAGUAGGAGUUUCUUGGUGUUUCUGGUAAACUUGGCAACAAACACUAGAACAUGGAUGGAACCAUGGAAGGCGUUACAUAUGUUUCGAAACUUGAAUAUGAUCAUGGGAGUUCUAUGUGCCUCUUCCAUAGUAAAGGAAAUUAUGGUCUUUGUUCUGUACAAGUUGACAGGAUUUGGGGCGGAGAAGUUGAUUCACAGUUAUUACUUGCUCUUAAUGAAUCUCAAAGAGCAGCAGAAUUGGGUACUAUAUCUGCAGUGCAACGUAGCCACAGGUCUUCUGUGAAGCUUGGGACAGGAAAAACCAAAACCAUCAGUAUUCUUCAACGAGUUUAUUUUGGAUUCAGAAUGUGAUGACAUGGGAUGCAAAACACACGGAUAAAUCUCGUAUCUCAGACAUGUAUCAUUUGAGCCAGAACUUUCAUACUCAUGCAGGUGUUCUCUACUAGUCACAGAGUGUAAUUGAAUUUCUGCAAUAUUCUUCCCUACCGCAUUAACAAUUUAAGUCCCGAAACAGAUAAUUUAUGGGAUCACAUGGAUUAUGUCUAUUUGCAUGAAUACCUCUACACUUCCGACGUCGAUCUAUAGAGUAAAGAAGCUAUGCUGUUGAAGCCGCGGGCUUUAGGGCAACCAAGUUGCAUACUGAACAAGUAGAAGCGGUGAAAAUGCUGGAUUUGGUGCAGAACAAUUCAUUUUGGUGCGGGAUGAUUCUGUGAGAA